CUGCUCUGGCAUGAGGUCCUCCACAGGCUGCAGGGAAAUACCUGCUUCACCAUGGUCUCCUUCAUGGGCUGCAGGGGAUUCUCUGCUCAGGUGCCUGGAUCACCUCUUCCCCCUCCUCCUUCUUAUCACAGAGGUGCUACUGUUGCUGAUUGGCUCAGAUUUGGCCAGCAGCAGGUCCGUCUUGGAGCCGGCUGGAACUGGCUCUGUCUGGCACGAAGGCAGCCCCUGGUGUCUUUUCACAGAGGCCAACCCUGCAGCUCCCUGCCCGCGCUACCAAAAACAUAAACCCAAUAAACCUUGAUAGUCUUUACCUAAAAGGUUUUCCUUUUGAAUUUCCUGCUGCUUUUCUGUUUCUGUCCUUAGCUUGAUAUGGUGACUGACACUUAUCUUACUUUCUGUUUAAGGUAGCUUUUCUAGACUUGGAAAGCAAAUAACACCUCUUCCUAAUAGUCUUCUCUGUUGGCUGAUAGGCUGAGGAGUCUUGGAUGGGAAUCUUGGGAAAAGUAAACUUAUCUUGAAGGAACUCCCUGCAUCUCUGGGAUACUAUUGGUAGCCCUGGAGAACAGCCUUUGCUCAGCAUUUUAUAUGCUCCUUCGAACAGAUACAGUAGAUAAUGAUUGGCAGUAGAUAACAGAUUAUGCAAGCAACUUGUAGAGGCUGCCUUAUGAUCUUGCUACUCUGAAGCUCUUCACUCAGGGCUAAUAUUGUGCCACACAUUUUGCAAAUGCCCCAGGGGCCAGGUCUGUACAGUCUGGUUUUCAUUGUACCAUCAGUAAUUAUGACCUGAAAAACCCUGUGUUGUUGACAAACUGUAGGGUUCAAUAUAGUGUUCAUUAUGUGAUUCUGGACUGGUAGUUUUAUUCAUAGGAAACCAUUCAAAGUGAAUGUGAUUGUCUCUUGAGGAAUGUGAAAUAUAUGGCUGAAAAAUGCUUAUCUAGAUCCCCCUUUUCUUACAAGUAAUCUUCUAGGUCAUAUUCCUUUGGUUCCCCCUACAUCUGUGAAAUUCUUAGCCACAAACCCUAUCACCUCUGUAUUGCUCAGCUAUUGAACUUUGGAGGAAGGCAGCGGGGAAUAAAUUACUACCUAGGCCACAGGACAAUGUAAGUGGGAGCUCAGUUAAAGCAGUGGGUUAUUGAGAGAACAAGUUGCUUUGUUGCAUUCUUGAUUCAGCUCUAUUUAGUUAGUUAGUUAGUUAUGAUACUAGCUUGAUAAUUUGAUUAGAAAUACUCAGUGCAGAUCUUUGGACAUUAACAUGUACCAGAAAUAUAGCAUAGUAAGAUAUGUAGCAAAGAGCACAUUGUCAGUCUCAGCUCAGAGUUAUUGUUCAACAGGUUUUUAUAACUUCAGAAUUAAAAUAGAAAUGCUGGUAAAAGAGGCAUACUGUAUGUAACAAGAAACAGUUGAAGAAUUUUUUUUAAAAAAACAUUUAUUGACAAAUGCCUUAUUAGGUAUUCCCUUGAAAAUUCAGUUAUCAAUAAUGUAUUACACACAAGUUACAAACACAAUCUUUUUCUUGUUUUUCAGGAGUAAAACACUAGUCUAAACUAUGAUUUUCUUUUUUAAAAGUGAAUGACAGCUUCAAGACCAAGAAGUCUGGUUUCAAUGCUUAAAGAUAGAA
Long non-coding RNA from Aquila chrysaetos chrysaetos, 1618 nucleotides. RefSeq lists it as uncharacterized. The transcript has 2 exons. NCBI's taxonomy places the organism in Eukaryota, Metazoa, Chordata, Aves, Accipitriformes, Accipitridae. The record is from RefSeq and is a predicted model, not a curated record.